CUUGAACUUUAUAAGAGGUCCAGCCUGCCCAGUGACUCUGUUCAACGGCCGCGGUAUCCUAACCGUGCGAAGGUAGCGUAAUCACUUGUUCUUUAAAUGUGGACUAGUAUGAAUGGCACUACGAGGGUUAUACUGUCUCCUUUUUCUAAUCAGUGAAACUAAUUUUCCCGUGAAGAAGCGGGAAUAUUACUAUAAGACGAGAAGACCCUAUGGAGCUUUAAACAACCCAGCAAUUACUUCUAAAAUUAUAAAUUUCAGAAUAUUUAUUUUUCUAAGUAAUAUGUCUGCAAGUUUUUGGUUGGGGUGACCAUGGAGAAUAACAUAACCUCCAUAUUGAAUGAAUUCCCUUCUAAGCUAAAAAUUACCUAUUGAAGCAUCAAUAUACUGACAUCUAUUGACCCAAUAUAUUUGAUCAACGAACCAAGUUACCCUAGGGAUAACAGCGCAAUCCACUUCAAGAGCCCCUAUCGACAAGUGGGUUUACGACCUCGAUGUUGGAUCAGGGUAUCCCAGUGGCGCAGCC
This 523-nucleotide ribosomal RNA is filed under the name Rhinella margaritifera group sp. ABGD cluster 36. Its description in RNAcentral is "partial large subunit ribosomal RNA". It matches the Rfam family "Bacterial large subunit ribosomal RNA", at positions 1835 to 2560 of the family's 2925-position model. Lineage: Eukaryota; Metazoa; Chordata; Amphibia; Anura; Bufonidae. The record is from RNAcentral.